GUCCUGGCUCAGGAUGAACGCUAGCUACAGGCUUAACACAUGCAAGUCGAGGGGCAGCAUGAACUUAGCUUGCUAAGUUUGAUGGCGACCGGCGCACGGGUGAGUAACACGUAUCCAACCUGCCGAUGACUCGGGGAUAGCCUUUCGAAAGAAAGAUUAAUACCCGAUGGCAUAAUUCUUCCGCAUGGUAGAACUAUUAAAGAAUUUCGGUCAUCGAUGGGGAUGCGUUCCAUUAGGUUGUUGGG
Molecule: ribosomal RNA, 245 nt
Filed under: uncultured bacterium
Lineage: Bacteria
Description: partial 16S ribosomal RNA
Rfam family: Bacterial small subunit ribosomal RNA
Source: RNAcentral